UACGUAGGGGGCAAGCGUUGUCCGGAAUCAUUGGGCUUAAAGCGCGUGUAGGCGGGUUCGUGCGUCUGUCGCUGAAAUCCCCCGGCUCAACCGGGGAACGGGCGCGGAUACGACGAGCCUGGAGGGGCAUAGGGGGACCUGGAACUUCCGGUGGAGCGGUGAAAUGCGUUGAGAUCGGAAGGAACGCCCGUGGCGAAAGCGAGGUCCUGGAUGCCUACUGACGCUGAGACGCGAAAGCCAGGGGAGCGAACGGG
This 254-nucleotide ribosomal RNA is filed under the name uncultured bacterium. RNAcentral describes it as "partial 16S ribosomal RNA". It matches the Rfam family "Bacterial small subunit ribosomal RNA", at positions 524 to 776 of the family's 1533-position model. The record is from RNAcentral.